ACUCCUACGGGAGGCAGCAGUCGGGAAUUUUGCGCAAUGGGGGAAACCCUGACGCAGCAAUACCGCGUGUGGGAUGAAGGCCUUCGGGUCGUAAACCACUUUUUUCGGGGACGAUAAUGACGGUACCCGAAGAAUAAGCCACGGCUAACUACGUGCCAGCAGCCGCGGUAAU
RNAcentral lists this ribosomal RNA (172 nucleotides) under uncultured bacterium. RNAcentral describes it as "partial 16S ribosomal RNA". It matches the Rfam family "Bacterial small subunit ribosomal RNA", at positions 335 to 524 of the family's 1533-position model. The record is from RNAcentral.